AUGAUCCUCCGCAUCCGCAGCCGCGACGGCACUGACCGCAUCACGGUGCCGGACGCGGCCGCCGCCACGGUCGGCGACCUGCAGCGCCUCAUCGAGGCGCGCGCCACCGUGCCCGUCACCGCCCAGCGCCUCUCCCUCGACCCGGCCCUGCUCCUCCCCGCCCCGCAGCCGCCGCUCCUCUCCGACCCGGCCGCGCCGCUCGCCUCCCUGCCCCUCGCCAACGGCUCCUUCGUCUACCUCUCGUACCCGGCCGGCGCGCGCGCCGCCCAGCCCCCGCCGCCCAGGGCCCUCACCGCCGCCGGCUCCUUCGGCAAGAAGAUGACCAUGGACGACCUCAUCGCGCGCCAGAUCCGGGUCACCCGCCAGGAGGCGCCCUUCUGCUCCGCGGCCUCCUUCGACCGCGACUCGGCCAACGCCUUCCAGCUCCACGUCUCCGAGUCGCUCGCCUUCGCCGUCAAGCGGGCGGGGUUCCUCUACGGCCGCGUCGACGCCGAGACCAAGGAGGUGCUGGUCGACUUCAUCUACGAGCCGCCGCAGCAGGGGUCCUCGGACGUGGUCCACCUGAUGCGGGACGCCGACGAGGAGGCCCGCGUGGACGCCAUCGCCGACGGGCUCGGCAUGCGCCGGGUAGGGUUCGUCUUCACACAGGCAGUCGGGAGGAAGGCCAGCGAGACGGGCGAGUACACCCUGUCCAACAGAGAGGUGGUCCAGGCCGCCCAGCUGCAGGCAGAGGGCGGGAUCCCGGAGUGGGUCACCGCCGUGGUGAAGCUGGAGGUUGGGGAGGACGGCUCGGCCGAUGUGCACUUCGAGGCGUUCCAGAUGAGCGAGGUCUGCGUCAAGCUGUUCAAGGACGGCGUGCUGGAGACGGAGAUCCAGGACUCCGACGACCCCCGCCUGUCCAAGAUGCGCAAGGAGGUGAUUGCAGGAGGGAAGGACACCAUGGAGGUGGACAAUGACUUCUUCCUGGUGCCCGUGAAGAUCUCCGAUCACCAGGGCCCGCUCUCAAUGGGAUUUCCGAUUGAAAACCGCGGAAUUCCUCUGCCGGCAAACGCUCUCAGGAGCCACAUGGAUCGUGCCAAGCAUCUCCCAUUCGUCAAGCGGAUCUCUGAUUUCCACCUGCUUCUCCAGAUCGCUGCUUUCCUGGAUGUGAAGGCAGACGUUCCUACUCUGGCUGCGUGCGUGGGGCACCAGGCAGAGGUGCCUGAGGGCUACCGGCUCCUGAUCGACGCCUUGGCAGGUCAAACAUAA
This 1248-nucleotide ribosomal RNA is filed under the name Triticum aestivum (bread wheat). RNAcentral describes it as "partial small subunit ribosomal RNA". Lineage: Eukaryota; Viridiplantae; Streptophyta; Magnoliopsida; Poales; Poaceae. The record is from RNAcentral.